Transfer RNA from Pyrenochaeta sp. DS3sAY3a, 167 nucleotides. It matches the Rfam family "tRNA". Rfam says of the family: Transfer RNA (tRNA) molecules are approximately 80 nucleotides in length. Their secondary structure includes four short double-helical elements and three loops (D, anti-codon, and T loops). Further hydrogen bonds mediate the characteristic L-shaped molecular structure. tRNAs have two regions of fundamental functional importance: the anti-codon, which is responsible for specific mRNA codon recognition, and the 3' end, to which the tRNAs corresponding amino acid is attached (by aminoacyl-tRNA synthetases). tRNAs cope with the degeneracy of the genetic code in two manners: having more than one tRNA (with a specific anti-codon) for a particular amino acid; and 'wobble' base-pairing, i.e. permitting non-standard base-pairing at the 3rd anti-codon position. The record is from Rfam. NCBI's taxonomy places the organism in Eukaryota, Fungi, Ascomycota, Dothideomycetes, Pleosporales, Cucurbitariaceae.
GCCUGGUUAGCUCAAUCGGUAGAGCGUGAGACUCUUAGAGUAUUCACGUUCCCACAGAACGAUUGAUCUCUCUGCAAUCUCAAGGUUGCGGGUACGUCUACCCCACACUACCAAUCACAUCUGCCAUAUACUUACAAUAUCCUCAGGUUCGACCCCCGCAUCGGGCU